UACGAAGGGUGCAAGCGUUACUCGGAAUUACUGGGCGUAAAGCGUGCGUAGGUGGUUUGUUAAGUCUGUUGUGAAAGCCCCGGGCUCAACCUGGGAAUGGCAAUGGAUACUGGCAAGCUAGAGUGCGGUAGAGGGUAGUGGAAUUCCCGGUGUAGCGGUGAAAUGCGUAGAGAUGUGGAGGAACACCGAUGGCGAAGGCAGCCUCCUGGGCCAACACUGACGCUCAUGCACGAAAGCGUGGGGAGCAAACAGG
RNAcentral lists this ribosomal RNA (253 nucleotides) under uncultured bacterium. RNAcentral's name for it is "partial 16S ribosomal RNA". It matches the Rfam family "Bacterial small subunit ribosomal RNA", at positions 524 to 776 of the family's 1533-position model. The record is from RNAcentral.